CCUACGGGAGACAGCAGUGGGGGAUAUUGCACAAUGGGCGAAAGCCUGAUGCAGCGACGCCGCGUGAGGGAUGAAGUAUUUCGGUAUGUAAACUUCUAUCAGCAGGGAAGAAAAUGACGGUACCUGACUAAGAAGCCCCGGCUAACUACGUGCCAGCAGCCGCGGUAAUACGUAGGGGGCAAGCGUUAUCCGGAUUUACUGGGUGUAAAGGGAGCGUAGACGGCGAUGCAAGCCAGGGGUGAAAGCCCGGGGCCCAACCCCGGGACUGCAUUUGGAACUGUGUGGCUGGAGUGUAGGAGGGGCAGGCGGAAUUCCUGGUGUAGCGGUGAAAUGCGUAGAUAUUAGGAGGAACACCGGUGGCGAAGGCGGCUUGCUGGACGGAAACUGACGUUGAGGCUCGAAAGCGUGGGGAGCAAACAGGAUUAGAUACCCCGGUAGUC
Molecule: ribosomal RNA, 440 nt
Filed under: uncultured bacterium
Lineage: Bacteria
Description: partial 16S ribosomal RNA
Rfam family: Bacterial small subunit ribosomal RNA
Source: RNAcentral